UGUCCUACGGGAGGCAGCAGUGGGGAAUAUUGGGCAAUGGGCGCAAGCCUGACCCAGCAACGCCGCGUGAAGGAAGAAGGCUUUCGGGUUGUAAACUUCUUUUGACAGGGAAGAGCAGAAGACGGUACCUGUCGAAUAAGCCACGGCUAACUACGUGCCAGCAGCCGCGGUAAUACGGAGGAUGCGAGCGUUAUCCGGAUUUAUUGGGUUUAAAGGGUGCGUAGGCGGAUCGUUAAGUCAGUGGUCAAAUUGAGGGGCUCAACCCCUUCCCGCCAUUGAAACUGGCGCUCUUGAGUG
This 297-nucleotide ribosomal RNA is filed under the name uncultured bacterium. Its description in RNAcentral is "partial 16S ribosomal RNA". It matches the Rfam family "Bacterial small subunit ribosomal RNA", at positions 335 to 648 of the family's 1533-position model. The record is from RNAcentral.